AUUGAACGCUGGCGGCAGGCCUAACACAUGCAAGUCGAACGGUAACAGCAAGCCGCUUGCUGCUUUGCUGCCUAGUGCCUGACGGGCUGGUCAUGUCUGGGAAACUGCCCGAUGGAGGGGGUUCACUUCUGGAAACGGUAGCUAAUACCGCAUAUCGUCGCCCUUUCAAAGAGCGGGACCUUAGGGCCUCUUGUCAUCGGAUGUGCCCAUAUGGGAUUAGCUAGUAGGUGGGGUAACGGCUCACCUAUGCGCCGAUCCCUAGCUGGUCUGAGAGGAUGACCAGACACACUGGAACUGAGACACGGUCCAGACUCCUACGGGAGGCAGCAGUGGGGAAUAUUGCACGAUGGGCGCAAGCCGGAUGCAGCCAUGCCGCGUGUAUGAAGAAGGCCUUCGGGUUGUAAAGUACUUACAGCGGGGAGGAAGGGAGGAAAGUUAAUCCCUGUGCUUAUUGACGGUACCCGCAGAAGAAGCACCGGCUAACUCCGUG
RNAcentral lists this ribosomal RNA (490 nucleotides) under uncultured bacterium. RNAcentral's name for it is "partial 16S ribosomal RNA". It matches the Rfam family "Bacterial small subunit ribosomal RNA", at positions 30 to 507 of the family's 1533-position model. The record is from RNAcentral.